RNAcentral lists this transfer RNA (74 nucleotides) under Nitrososphaerota archaeon. RNAcentral describes it as "tRNA-Thr". It matches the Rfam family "tRNA". From Rfam's summary of the family: Transfer RNA (tRNA) molecules are approximately 80 nucleotides in length. Their secondary structure includes four short double-helical elements and three loops (D, anti-codon, and T loops). Further hydrogen bonds mediate the characteristic L-shaped molecular structure. tRNAs have two regions of fundamental functional importance: the anti-codon, which is responsible for specific mRNA codon recognition, and the 3' end, to which the tRNAs corresponding amino acid is attached (by aminoacyl-tRNA synthetases). tRNAs cope with the degeneracy of the genetic code in two manners: having more than one tRNA (with a specific anti-codon) for a particular amino acid; and 'wobble' base-pairing, i.e. permitting non-standard base-pairing at the 3rd anti-codon position. Lineage: Archaea; Thermoproteati; Nitrososphaerota. RNAcentral also lists the same sequence under 1 other name. The record is from RNAcentral.
GCCUCGGUAGCUCAGCCUGGUAGAGCGCCGGCUUGGUAAGCCGGAAGUCGCGGGUUCAAAUCCCGCCCGAGGCU